Molecule: ribosomal RNA, 497 nt
Filed under: uncultured bacterium
Lineage: Bacteria
Description: partial 16S ribosomal RNA
Rfam family: Bacterial small subunit ribosomal RNA
Source: RNAcentral
GAUGAACGCUGGCGGCGUGCCUAAUACAUGCAAGUCGAGCGAACGGACGAGAAGCUUGCUUCUCUGAUGUUAGCGGCGGACGGGUGAGUAACAUGUGGAUAACCUACCUAUAAGACUGGGAUAACUUCGGGAAACCGGAGCUAAUACCGGAUGAUAUUUUGAACCGCAUGGUUCAAAAGUGAAAGACGGUCUUGCUGUCACUUAUACGUGGAUCCGCGCUGCAUUAGCUAGUUGGUAAGGUAACGGCUUACCAAGGCAACGAUGCAUAGCCGACCUGAGAGGGUGAUCGGCCACACUGGAACGGAGACACGGUCCAGACGCCUACGGGAGGCAGCAGUAGGGAAUCUGCCGCAAUGGGCGAAAGCCUGACGGAGCAACGCCGCGUGAGUGAUGAAGGUCUUCGGAUCGUAAAGCUCUGUUAUUAGGGAAGAACAUAUUUGUAAGUAACUGUGCACAUCUUGACGGUACCUAAACAGAAAGCAACGGCUAACUACGUG